RNAcentral lists this ribosomal RNA (460 nucleotides) under uncultured bacterium. RNAcentral describes it as "partial 16S ribosomal RNA". It matches the Rfam family "Bacterial small subunit ribosomal RNA", at positions 338 to 795 of the family's 1533-position model. The record is from RNAcentral.
CCUACGGGUGGCAGCAGUGAGGAAUAUUGGUCAAUGGACGAGAGUCUGAACCAGCACAGUAGCGUGAAGGAUGAAUGCCCUAUGGGUUGAAAACUUCUUUUAUAUGGGAAUAAAAUGUUCCACGUGUGGGCUUUUGUAUGUACCAUAUGAAUAAUGAUAGGCUAACUCCGUGCCAGCAGCCGGUGUAAUACUGAGGAUCCGAGCGUUAUCCGGAUUUAUUGGGUUUAAAGGGAGCGUAGGUGGAUUGUUAAGUCAGUUGUGAAAGUUUGCGGCUCAACCGUAAAAUUGCAGUUGAAACUGGCAGUCUUGAGGACAGUAGAGGUGGGCGGAAUUCGUGGUGUAGCGGUGAAAGGCUUAGAUAUCACGAAGAACUCCGAUUGCGAAGGCAGCUCACUGGACUGCAACUGACACUGAGGCUCGAAAGUGUGGGUAUCAAACAGGAGUAGAUACCCUGGUAGUC